AUUGAACGCUGGCGGCAUGCCUUACACAUGCAAGUCGAACGGUAACAGGUCUUCGGAUGCUGACGAGUGGCGAACGGGUGAGUAAUACAUCGGAACGUGCCUAGUAGUGGGGGAUAACUACUCGAAAGAGUGGCUAAUACCGCAUGAGAUCUACGGAUGAAAGCGGGGGCUCGCAAGACCUUGUGCUACUAGAGCGGCCGAUGGCAGAUUAGGUAGUUGGUGGGAUAAAAGCUUACCAAGCCGACGAUCUGUAGCUGGUCUGAGAGGACGACAAGCCACACUGGGACUGAGAAACGGCCCAGACUCCUACGGGAGGCAGCAGUGGGGAAUUUUGGACAAUGGGCGCAAGCCUGAUCCAGCAAUGCCGCGUGCAGGAUGAAGGCCUUCGGGUUGUAAACUGCUUUUGUACGGAACGAAAAGCCCCGGGUUAAUACCCUGGGGUCAUGACGGUACCGUAAGAAUAAGCACCGGCUAACUACGUGCCAGCCGCCGCCGUAA
RNAcentral lists this ribosomal RNA (498 nucleotides) under uncultured bacterium. Its description in RNAcentral is "partial 16S ribosomal RNA". It matches the Rfam family "Bacterial small subunit ribosomal RNA", at positions 30 to 523 of the family's 1533-position model. The record is from RNAcentral.